This 23-nucleotide non-coding RNA is filed under the name Arabidopsis thaliana (thale cress). The record is from RNAcentral. Lineage: Eukaryota; Viridiplantae; Streptophyta; Magnoliopsida; Brassicales; Brassicaceae.
GCAUCUAUUGAUUUGUUGGUUUC